GACGAACGCUGGCGGCGUGCUUAACACAUGCAAGUCGAACGGAAAGGCCCUGCUUUUGUGGGGUGCUCGAGUGGCGAAGGGGUGAGUAACACGUGAGUAACCUGCCCUUGACUUUGGGAUAACUUCAGGAAACUGGAGCUAAUACCGGAUAGGAGCUCCUGCUGCAUGGUGGGGGUUGGAAAGUUUCGGCGGUUGGGGAUGGACUCGCGGCUUAUCAGCUUGUUGGUGGGGUAGUGGCUUACCAAGGCUUUGACGGGUAGCCGGCCUGAGAGGGUGACCGGCCACAAGGGGCCUGAGAGACGGCCCAGACUCCUACGGGAGGCAGCAGGGGGGAAUAUUGCACAAUGGGCGCAAGCCUGAUGCAGCAACGCCGCGUGCGGGAUGACGGCCUUCGGGUUGUAAACCGCUUUCGCCUGUGACGAAGCGUGAGUGACGGUAAUGGGUAAAGAAGCACCGGCUAACUACGUG
RNAcentral lists this ribosomal RNA (468 nucleotides) under uncultured bacterium. RNAcentral describes it as "partial 16S ribosomal RNA". It matches the Rfam family "Bacterial small subunit ribosomal RNA", at positions 28 to 507 of the family's 1533-position model. The record is from RNAcentral.